ACGCACCAGAUACUGAUCAGUCUGCCUUCAGCCCAGCUGUGCCAUGCACACUGGUGACUGUACUCCAUGGCAAUCUGAUUUCAGAAGGGUGCCACACAAAAGUCAGCCCUGACAUUUAAGCUCUGAGUGAAAAGCUGCACUUUAGAGUUAUGGCUCAGAGGCACAUUA
Non-coding RNA from Hypomesus transpacificus, 168 nucleotides. RefSeq annotates it as small Cajal body-specific RNA 1. Lineage: Eukaryota; Metazoa; Chordata; Actinopteri; Osmeriformes; Osmeridae. The record is from RefSeq and is a predicted model, not a curated record. The transcript has a single exon.